AGUGAACGCUGGCGGUAGGCCUAACACAUGCAAGUCGAACGGCAGCACAGAGGCGCUUGCUCCUUGGGUGGCGAGUGGCGGACGGGUGAGGAAUACAUCGGAAUCUACUCUGUCGUGGGGGAUAACGUAGGGAAACUUACGCUAAUACCGCAUACGACCUACGGGUGAAAGCAGGGGAUCUUCUGACCUUGCGCGAUUGAAUGAGCCGAUGUCGGAUUAGCUAGUUGGCGGGGUAAAGGCCCACCAAGGCGACGAUCCGUAGCUGGUCUGAGAGGAUGAUCAGCCACACUGGAACUGAGACACGGUCCAGACUCCUACGGGAGGCAGCAGUGGGGAAUAUUGGACAAUGGGCGCAAGCCUGAUCCAGCCAUACCGCGUGGGUGAAGAAGGCCUUCGGGUUGUAAAGCCCUUUUGUUGGGAAAGAAAUCCAGCCGGCUAAUACCUGGUUGGGAUGACGGUACCCAAAGAAUAAGCACCGGCUAACUUCGUG
Molecule: ribosomal RNA, 490 nt
Filed under: uncultured bacterium
Lineage: Bacteria
Description: partial 16S ribosomal RNA
Rfam family: Bacterial small subunit ribosomal RNA
Source: RNAcentral